GCAAACUUGGUCAUUUAGAGGAAGUAAAAGUCGUAACAAGGUUUCCGUAGGUGAACCUGCGGAAGGAUCAUUAUCAUACAAUGAAGGUGCUGAGGGCUGUCGCUGACCCUUUGGUCAUGCACGCCCUAGUACUCUUACAUGUCCAUCUCUCACCCCUUUGUGCAUCACCGCGUGGGCUACCUUUUGGCUCGUUCCAAAUGGGUUCACGUUUUUACAUAGACACCCUAUUAAUGCAUGUGUAGAAUGUCUUACAUUUUGCGGUCACACGCAAUGAAUACAACUUUCAACAACGGAUCUCUUGGCUCUCGCAUCGAUGAAGAACGCAGC
This 327-nucleotide unclassified non-coding RNA is filed under the name uncultured fungus. Its description in RNAcentral is "partial contains small subunit ribosomal RNA, internal transcribed spacer 1, and 5.8S ribosomal RNA". The stretch from base 1 to 73 matches the Rfam family "Eukaryotic small subunit ribosomal RNA", at positions 1759 to 1831 of the family's 1831-position model. The record is from RNAcentral. Lineage: Eukaryota; Fungi.